CCUCCCCCCAAAAAAAGGAAAAAAAAAAAGGAACGCUCAACUUCUAGCCUGGGGAUAUAGCUCAGUGAUAAAGCACUUGCCUAAAAUAUUUGAGACCCUACAUUUGAUCCCCAGUAGCAAAAAAAAAAAAAAAAAAAAAAAAUCUCAACCUCUUUUAAGAAAGAAUCAGAACAGGUAACAUAAUGAUUUGUUUGUGUUUUGUUUUGCAGUACAUGGAGUGGAACCCAGCAGCACUUUACCACCAAGCUACAUCCCCAGCACUUUUAUUUUUUAAAUUUUGAGACAGGGUUUCAAAGUUGCCCAGGGUGGCAUCAAACUUAUGAUCCUCCUGCCUCAGCCUCCCAAGUCACUGAGAUUAUAGGUACAUCACAUCACCCAGCCUCCAAAAUGUCUUGCUGGAGUUGAGCACCCGCUAUGGCCAUUGGAUGGAGUCCUCCAGCUCAGACAUCUUUGUGUUAUUUUCAGGAAUUUGCAAUCCCUCCUUGAGAGAUGCUAAUUCACAUGACUCUCACCUAAACAUCUCCAUGAAGAAAGGAAAGGGAGUGUCAUAAUUAUUAAACCCAUUUUGAAGUGAGGAAUUUGAAGCUCAGAGGCUAAAGGACUUGCCAAAGAUUCCAUAGCCAGUGUUUUUUUGAUCUGGCUUGAACUCAGGGGCACUCAACCACUGAGCCACAUCCCCAGCCCUAUUCUGUAUUUUAUUUAGCAACUUUGCUUAGUGCCUUGCGGUUGCUGAGGCUGGCUUUGAACUGGCUAUCCUCCUGUCUCAGCCUCCCAAACCACUGGGAUUACAGGUGGGCGCCACAGUGACCAGCCAUAGCCAAUUUCUUUUGUUUUUGUUUUUGGGUACCAACCAUUGAAUUCAGGGGCACUUGACCACUGAGCCACAUCCCCAGCCCUAUUUUGUAUUUUUAUUUAGAAACAGGCUCUCACUGAGUUGCUAAGCACCUCACUUUUUGCUGAGGCUGGUUUUGAAUUUGCGAUCCUCCUGCCUUAGCCUCCCGAGCCACUGGGAUUAUAGUUUGGUGUAGUUCUGCAGGCCCCAACGGAGGAUAGCGAAGAAUACUGGGAAGAAGACGCAACCUAGUACAAAGAGCAGGGCCAUGCCUGUCUGAGGUAGAGAAGGGGAAAAGAAAUGGUUAUGAGAACUCCUUAACCCUGCAGUGGUCCAUGAGAUCCACUCAGCUGCAGCCACUGAAAAUCAUUGCGUUUCUAACAUCCUUCAUCCGGGUGAUGUGCCUGCCCUUUCUUAACUCCACCCUGAUCAUCCUCCGUUCCUAUGUCACCCUUGACUCCUCCGAGGGGCUCAGACUUCUCACAGGGUCUCACCUCUCAGCGACAAGCCUCCCCUCCCACCCGCUCCGAGGAGGAGAGGAGUGGGGAAGGCGCAGGAGGGACGCAGGUGGUCGGGGCCUGCCAUCCUCCAUCCCUGGAGUGCUUCUGAAGGGACCUUCUCAGGCUACAAGGAAAUGUCAAACUGCAAGGGCACGAGGCUGCUCAGCCGAGGCAGUUGGAGCCACAGGAGCAUCACCCUCCCAUUGGCCAACCUCUUGACACAGGUGCCCUAUCGUUUAUUUCUGCUGGGGCGGAUGUGGGCAGGGCGUUCUACCCAUUCUGUGUAGAAUUAGCCAAUUAGAGUUCGUUGAUGACUUGAUGGACAGCACAUUUCAGAGGCGGAGCUGGAAGAAAAGGAAUAGGAAGAAGAGGGAGAAUAAGAAAGGUCUGUUAUUGCUUUAAAAGGUAGUAGAGAAGCCUAUUGCCGCAUCUCAUGUCUCUAAUCCCAGCAGCUCUGGAGGCUGAGGCAGGAGGAUCUGAAAUUCAAGGACAGCCUCAGCAAUUUAGUGAGGCUCUAAGCAAUUUAGUGAGACCAUGUCUCAAAAUCAAAGAAAGCAAAAACAAACAGCCUCGAGAUGUGGCUCAGUGGUUGAAGUCUCUGGGUCCAUUCUGUGGUAGUGGUGGGGGAAGGUGUGGGGCAGUAGAGAAACUAGCCCUGGAGCACCUCAGCGACAAGGGAGGCUGAAGCAGGAGAAUUGCAAGUUCAGCCUGGCAAUUUAGGGAGACCUUGUCUCAAAAGAAAAAAAAAAUAUGUAAAGGACUUGGAUGUAGUUCAGUGGCAGUGCACUCCUCAGUAUCGCAGGUAAGUGAAUACAAAAAUUAAAAAUGCUAAGGAAAUUUUGGCUCUUCAUUCCCUGAAUAAUGGUGAGCAGAACCUCUGUGGGCCUCGGUAUCUUCCUCUGUGAGAUUGAGAUCAUAAUGAUGACAGCUAAUUAUAUUGCAUUUACUGUGGGCCAGACUCUGAUCUGAGUGCUUAAAAACAUGAAAUCAUUUUUUCCAAAUAACCUUGUGGGUAGGGAUUAUUAUUGUAUCAACUUUACAGUUGGGAAAACAGUGGUACAGAAAGGCUUGGUACCUACCCCAAGGUUACAGUCAGGAAGGGAAUGAGGUACAGUAUUUCUUUCAACCAUAUUUUCUGAAUCUGUUGGUCUCUAUAAUGUUAAGCAGAUAUAGGAAACUCAAAAACUCAUUAUCCUAAAGGAAUUAAAGGGUUUUUGUUUGUUUUGCUGCUGGGGAUUGAACUUAUUUUAUGAAUUUUUUUGGGUUUUUUUGUUAUGUUUUUGUUUUUUUU
Marmota monax (woodchuck) is the source of this 2623-nucleotide long non-coding RNA. RefSeq lists it as uncharacterized. The transcript is spliced from 4 exons. Lineage: Eukaryota; Metazoa; Chordata; Mammalia; Rodentia; Sciuridae. The record is from RefSeq and is a predicted model, not a curated record.